This 504-nucleotide ribosomal RNA is filed under the name uncultured bacterium. RNAcentral's name for it is "bacterial SSU rRNA". It matches the Rfam family "Bacterial small subunit ribosomal RNA", at positions 15 to 518 of the family's 1533-position model. The record is from RNAcentral.
GAUUAUGGCUCAGGAUGAACGCUGGCGGCGUGCCUAACACAUGCAAGUCGAACGGAACUUUUACGAGCAAGGCUUCGGCCAAGCAAGUUCAAGUUAGUGGCGGACGGGUGAGUAACGCGUGAGCAACCUGCCUUUCAGAGGGGGAUAACGUUUGGAAACGAACGCUAAUACCGCAUAACGUAUGGAAAUCGCAUGGUGACCAUACCAAAGAUUUUAUCGCUGAGAGAUGGGCUCGCGUCCGAUUAGGUAGUUGGUGGGGUAACGGCUCACCAAGCCGACGAUCGGUAGCCGGACUGAGAGGUUAAACGGCCACAUUGGGACUGAGACACGGCCCAGACUCCUACGGGAGGCAGCAGUGGGGAAUAUUGCACAAUGGGCGCAAGCCUGAUGCAGCAACGCCGCGUGAGGGAAGACGGUUUUCGGAUUGUAAACCUCUGUCUUUGGUGACGAAGAAGUGACGGUAGCCAAGGAGGAAGCCACGGCUAACUACGUGCCAGCCGCAGC